GGGAGGGGGUGCGGGGGCGGACGGAAAGACGCUGACGUACGAAGUUUUUUCGUCUCUUUGUUUCUCUAAGUAGAGAAAGGAAAAAUGUGUGCCUUGUGAAGCAAACAAAAUACUAACCUCUGUUUCCAAAUACUUAUCACUUUUGACCACUUUAUUUAUUUUAAAAUAUUUGGCACUUCACGUUUCCAAAAACACUUUUCCAUUUUGCCUCUAUACAAAUAUUAUAGGAAUGUUCUAGAAACUCUUAAAGAUAGGUUUAUUAUAAGGGCAUUUUGAAUAUUUCAUUCUUGAAAGGUUGAAUUGCUUUGGCAACCGUGUUUGGCCAAAAUUAUCAAGUAUUCAGAAACGGAGGUACUGUCACUACUUCGGGUAGAUAUUUAUGUUUAAAUAAAGAAAAUGCAACUAAGCUCACGUCAAGGAGGAGAGCGGAAGGGCCCUCCUCUCUCUAACUACAGGCUACAGUUAAGAGCAUCUCCAGUUUACAUUGACUAAACUGGAUUGCUAUACUAAAACUACCGCAAUACUUAAAAACCAACAAAAACCUGCUCCAUCAGUAUACUUAAUAGUUUGCUAAUUUUAGGUUAUCUAUAUUCUUCUGCUCACGCGGGAGAGGAGAAAGCAACCGCUCUCGGUCGGAGCUUUCCAAGCCGCGUACGUCCCCCUCCGCCCCUGCGCCGCCGGCGUCCUUGUCGCCUCCGGCCACCAGCGCCACCAUGGAAAUCUGCCUCGAGCUCGAUUCACGCAUCCCCACGCUCGAUUCUGCUGUCUCCUGCUCGAUUUGACGUCCGCCGGGCCAGCCCAACCCUUAGCCGGACUCGAAUUGGUGGUGAGGAUGGAGGCGAGGGGCGGGCGAGCGACCACCACCGGCUCAGCCCCGGCUCGGGAGAGCUCCGCGCGAGGCUUCUGUGGCGCAACCCUGACAUGCGUGAGCUUUCGCAACCCAGCCCUGGUGCGGGCGUGGUCCCUGGCCCAACCCCGAGGCCGGCGUGCUCGUCGGGGCUGCAACUCGUCGAUCCCCGGUGGAAAAGGAGAUGACGGCGUCGAUUCAGGGCAGACGGCAAGGCGGAGCGGGGGCAGGCGAGCUCCACCGACCCAACCCCGAGGCGGGUGCUACUGGUACUUGAAUGAAUAUAGGUCACUAGUUC
This 1145-nucleotide long non-coding RNA is filed under the name Setaria viridis. Its description in RNAcentral is "long non-coding RNA (SVIR_LNC007107)". Lineage: Eukaryota; Viridiplantae; Streptophyta; Magnoliopsida; Poales; Poaceae. The record is from RNAcentral.